UACGUAGGGUGCAAGCGUUACUCGGAAUUACUGGGCGUAAAGCGUGCGCAGGCGGCUUUGCAAGACAGAUGUGAAAUCCCCGGGCUCAACCUGGGAACUGCAUUUGUGACUGCAAGGCUGGAGUACGGCAGAGGGGGAUGGAAUUCCGCGUGUAGCAGUGAAAUGCGUAGAUAUGCGGAGGAACACCGAUGGCGAAGGCAAUCCCCUGGGCCUGUACUGACGCUCAUGCACGAAAGCGUGGGGAGCAAACAGG
Molecule: ribosomal RNA, 253 nt
Filed under: uncultured bacterium
Lineage: Bacteria
Description: partial 16S ribosomal RNA
Rfam family: Bacterial small subunit ribosomal RNA
Source: RNAcentral